Molecule: long non-coding RNA, 537 nt
Filed under: Homo sapiens (human)
Lineage: Eukaryota; Metazoa; Chordata; Mammalia; Primates; Hominidae
Description: HSALNT0357125
Source: RNAcentral
GUCUUCCUACCCAGCGCCGCGGCUCUCGGAGGCUGCCAGUGGCUGGGUGCGCCUGGCCUGAGUCCUCCACCCGAAGAAAAUAAGGAACCUGGCCAGAGAGAGGCAAAAGGAAGAGUCUGCUCCUCAUGUUCCUUCUUGCUGUGGUUUUACCCUCGCCACUUAUUUCGUGGUCAUUCAUUGGGAUGGUAUCUCUCUUCCUACCUUGCAGCUAUGCUGUGAAGAGUAAGAGGAAGUAUUCUGAAAAGUGCAAGGUCUUAUACUGAGAAAGGCACAGAAGCAACACUGCAAAUAUCACAAAUCUCCAGCACCGUAUGCUGUUACUCUGAGCUGGAUUUUUUGUUCUUUUGUUUGCAUAGAUUAUUCUGCUUUUAAUCUUCAAAAUCUGCGCAUGAAAGGGGACUGCACAGAAUUUUUUUUUUCUUUUUGAGAUGGAAUCUCAUUCUGUCUGUCACUCAGGCUGGUGUGUGCAGUGGCAAGAUAUAGGCUCACGGCAACCUCUGCCUCCCUGGUUCCAGCGAUUCUCCUGCCUCAGCCUCC